Regulatory RNA element from Candidatus Photodesmus, 85 nucleotides. It matches the Rfam family "RpsF leader". Rfam says of the family: Conserved and widely distributed to many bacterial species RNA structure. The record is from Rfam. NCBI's taxonomy places the organism in Bacteria, Pseudomonadati, Pseudomonadota, Gammaproteobacteria, Vibrionales, Vibrionaceae.
GUCAUUCUUCAUUUAGUUCCUUGCUUCCUUUUUAAAAUGGCCGAUUUAGUUUUGGAAGCUAAAUAACCCGUAAGGAGCAAAUAUG